Molecule: RNA transcript, 5517 nt
Organism: Labeo rohita (rohu)
Lineage: Eukaryota; Metazoa; Chordata; Actinopteri; Cypriniformes; Cyprinidae
Gene: scn2b
Gene name: sodium channel, voltage-gated, type II, beta
Exons: 6
Source: RefSeq, a predicted model, not a curated record
UCCUGCUACAGACACUGCCAGCCAUAUCAUAGCACAAAAUAAAAACAUUUACGUGUUAUUUUGUAUAAUUGAAACGAAGAAAUAGAUCUCUAACGUUUUUCCGUUCUUAUUUUCCUCUCUGUUUAUUAUCAUCGACCAAAAUGCCUAUUUUAUCGCAUUUUGGGAAAACGCAGUGGGCGUCCGCUUUGAAAUUAUCCUGUGUUGCAUUGAUGAUAUUUCUGGCCUGUCCAGUGAAUUCCAUGGACGUGCUGGUGCCACCACAGAUCAACGCUCUCAACGGAACAGAUGUUAGAAUCCCCUGUGCAUUCACCUCAUGCUACAAGCUGGACCCCAGCAAGUUUGCCAUGAACUGGACCUACCAGGAGACAAGCAACAGCACAGAGGAGAUGUUCAUGACCUAUAAGAACAAGAUAACACCCUUGAAGUCCAGCCGAUUUGGAGACCGAGUCAUAUUUUCUGGAAACCUGGAUAAAAACGAUCUGACCAUCACUAUCUUGGAUGUGCAGUUGACGGACGAAGGCAUCUACAAAUGCUAUGUGCGCAACCCUCCAGACCGCAUUCAGGGUCUCGGCACCAUCCAGUUUAUCGUCCUGACUGAAUUGCCACCACCAAGGGAUUCGACCAUUGCUGUCGCCAUCGGGGCAUCUGUUGGGGGAAUUCUAGCUUUGCUCAUUCUGUCCAUGGUGGUGGUGAAGUGUAUUCGCAGACAUAAGAACCAGGAGCUGAUCUCAGAUGAGCAGAAGAUGGAGGAAGAGGGCAAAGCAGAUGGAGAAGGAGGCACAGAAGAAGCAACAAAACAGCCCUAACCUGCCAUCUUAGCCAUGGAGGCCUAACGGAUGGUGGAGCUCCAUCCUACACAUUCUGAAAUUUAAGCCUCCUGCCUGAAGAUGUGUAAAUCUUGUUUGACUCUUCAUCCUAUAACUGUCUCAUUCAACAUCCCUGGGUUUUCUCGUGUAGCAGUCAAACAUGUCAUGUUAGGAAGAUCUCCACCACAGUGCCAUGGUGUCCAGUUACCGGGUUUCAAACUGCCUCUUCCACUUAAAAUGACAGGUUAAGGUAAUAACAACUUCCUGCAGAACGCUACGUUUGGACCACACUUUUUUCAAUUCAACUAAUGUCUUCUUUCUUCAACUACUGCCACUAUUAGCACUAUUGAUAUUAGCCAUCCAGUAUUUCUGCUGAGAAUUUUCUAAAGAGAUGAAUUUUAAAUUAUACAAAGUCACAACUACCAAAGUGUUUUUACCCUUAAGGUGUUUAUACGUUUUGACAGUUUCUUGAGAAAUCACUGCCCUCAAUGUCCUCUCAAGUGGAUGUAGAGACAUAACGUGUGUGCUUGUGUGUGUGCCUUCUCAUUGUGCCGGUAUGCUUCUAUUGAGUCUAAAAGUUUAUGCUGUUUUUACAAUGCAGGAAGUAGAACAGCAGAAUAUUAGGCAGGAUUAUUACUAUACAUCAGUGUUCAAAAUCUAUAAUUUGCUAGCUUACAGCACAUAAAACACCUCCAAAACAUGUACAAUCAUUGCAUGACAAUUUUCUUACGCAUGAUACACACAAUUUGCACAAAAUAAAAAUCAUUGAUUUGCACAAGCAUAUGGCACAUUCUACAAAUAGGGUAUAUUUUGCUGUUCCGUUACAUUUUUUAAAAGCCUUAGAGGAACAAAUCUAAUGUUGAUUUAUUGACUUAGAUAAUGUAUAUUUGUUAUCUAACAUAAAACUAACUUAGCGUGAAAAAUAGCUUUUUUUAAUGGUGAUUUUGGUUUUAAAAGAUGAUUGUUUUAUUAUUCUUAGUUAUAAAAAAAAAAAAGUAAUUUAUUCUCAAUUAACCUUAUUAAAACUUAUUUCCCCAUUACCAAGUAAAUAAGCAAACAAGUAAAUAAAAAUUUCUGAGCCCCCCCCAAAAUAAGAUAAUUUGGAAGUAAAUAAUUUGUUCCCUAUCUAUCGUUCACUCCAACGUUAGUGCAUGACAAAAUCUUGGAAGGCCCCAUUCUUGGCCAGAACACGAUAUAUCAACAACUCCUCCCUCACCACCCUCGAAGGCAGUCUGGCGAGAGGGUAUAUGGCGGUCCUGUCCCACCCCCCCUGCCCCCUUUAAAAUGUUCCUGAGACGGGCAGCCCAGAGGAGAGGGACCAGCUGACCUGCCUGGAUCCACACUCGACGAGGGGACAAGCGCUGGAUUCGGCUCCAUCCCUGCCACCCAGCAGACGGCCACCACAUGGUCAAUAAAAGAGCAAUUUCCCUCUUCUCUGGGCCUUAUUCACAGCGUUUCCGACCCUCUGUGCGACGGCCGGACACUGUUUUCCUUAACCGGAACAUGUGUCGGCACACCCUUUGUUUUCCCUCAUGUUCUGAAACAUCGAAUUAGUUUAGACGAUCUCCCUGGCAAGAGAGAUCCUCUGGUCAGUUCUCAUCUAAUGAAUUCGGUGAGCAGAACAACCAGUGGUCCUCGAAGGGGUUUACAGCCCUUAAUCAUUGUAACCAAGAAGGGUGGUGGGCUCAGACCAAUCCUAGAUCCUAGAAUCGGGCCCUUCACAACCUCCCGUUCAAAAUGUUAACCCUCAAACACAUUCUCAUGUGCAUCAGGGUUCAAGAUUGGUUUGUGGCAAUAGACCUGAAGGACGCGUACUUUCAUGUCUCGAUCCUUCCAAGACACAGGCCGUUCCUGCGGUUUGCCUUCGAAGGUCAGGCUUAUCAGUACAAGGUUCUCCCCUUCAGCCUGUCCCUGUCGCCCCGCGUCUUUACGAAGGUUACGGAAGCUGUCCUUGCCCCUCUCAGGGAAGUGGGCAUUCGCAUUUUCAAUCUCGAUGACUGGCUGAUUCGGCUAUAGGUCGGCUAUAUAUUCAGCUCUGGUAGAAGGCAGAUCGGUGGGGAAGCACGAUUUGGUCAUUAGAUUUCUUAGAGGCGCCCGGAGGUUGAAUCCUCCCAGGCUGCACCUCAUCCCCUCUUGGGAUCUCACUGUGGUUCUUCAGGCCUUACAGCAAGAUCCAUUUGAGCCCCUUCAGUCAGUCAAUCUCAGUGUCCUCUCUAUGAAAACGGCCUUCCUGACUGCGCUCACUUAUGUGAAAAGAGUGGGAGACCUUCAAGCCCUCUCGUCAACGGUUCGUGCCUGUAAUUUGGGCCGGCAGACUCUCACAUUGUCCUGAGACCUCGGCUUGGAUGCGUGCCCAAAGUACCCACCACUCGCCAUACCAUACGUAACCGAGAUGUUUUUUCAAUAAUGAAUAUACAAAAGAUUCUAAUAUUCUACUGAGUGACAGCUUAGUUUAUACUAAAUUUGCUCCAAUUUGUAACCCUGCUAUUAAAAAAUGUAAUAAUAAUUUUAAAAAAGCUAUGGGUAUACCCUAUUUAUGGAAAAUGCCAUUUCCAAAACAUUGCGUUCACACAUAAACAUCAUCAUUUCAGGUGCAAUGAUUAUGUGGCAAGCUAAACAUUAUCUAUUUAUAGAUAAACGCCAAAAAACAACCUAUACAGAAAUUUGAUUGUUAAUAUUAUUGAUUGUGUUUGACAUGUUUGUUGUGGUGUUAUUUGGAAUGUGUGAAUUAAUUUUACAUGAGUAUCUUCUUGAACGUAUAAGAUGUGAAUUUCAUUUUUAGUCAGUACUGAAUUCAUAACACUUCAUAUUAGCCUCAUAAUCAAAUUUCACACAUCAUAUAAUCUGCUCUGAAAGAGGCUAUUUAAAGGUUUCAAACUGAGUAACAAGCAAAUGAAAGACACUGGAUUAAGCAAAUGUGCUUUUGAUGGAAAGAUUAAAAAUAAAUGGGAAAAAAAGAACAAAAACAAAACUAUAUCUAUUAAGUCCAGAAACAGAAAAUCUGCUGUUUUCAUAAUGACUGUGUUGGAAAUCCAUUUUGAUAGUGAAACACAUAGUGAUUGUGAACUCACUUUCGGUGGACUCGUAGUAAUAGACUGCAGACUAUCUAGUGGAUUAUGUAGGGAAGGGGCAGGUCUCCUACAUACCAUCUGCUUAAAUCAAACAAUUUCAAAGACUAGCCUCAAAAUCAUAACAGUAUAAUUUUGUGUUAUGUUCAGGAAAUGUGAGGAGUAUGUUUUAAAUAGUUCUAUUUAAUAAAAAGUAAAUAUAUCUAAAUAUAUAUUAUAUGUAUGUAUAUUGUAAUCUUGAAUGAUGUUGAAAAGUAGCAGCAUAUGUCUUAUUUAAACAUUCUGUAUAUUUAAAGUGAAGCAAGACAAUAGCAUAAAGAUGCAGGCUCAUUUACAAACAACUCUUAUUUGUUCUGGCAUAAAACCUCAUACAAGGUAUACAGUAUUUGUCUACAGAUUAGUUUAAAGUAUUUUAGCACUUAUUUUACUUCACCACAUACGAUUAUUUGGUUCGCAUGCUGUAACACUGCAUUCAUGCAGCAUAGGCCCAAAGCCUGGAGCCACAGUGAUUGUGAGCCCGGGAAGCCUCACCCUCUGCUGGGCAAAGCCGAUACCCUUAUUGGCUUCUGUUUAGGCACACUAUAAAUCACUCAGUGCCCUUCUGACUGACUUAAACUCCUUUUUAUUUAUUUAGUUAGUUAGUUACGCAUUUAUUCUGACACAUUCACAUCAUAUUGUAUUCCAAUAAGUAUUUAAUGGAUCAAGUAUUGCUUUUUGUUAUAUAAACAAUAUACCCGAAUGAUUCUGCUGUGUUACCUCUAUAAUUUUGCUCCAUCAGCAACUCGAAUUCCUUGUAAGGGAAUGUAUUAUCCAUUAUUUAUUUAUUAUUGUUAAUUUCAAUGUUUAAUUCAGUGCUUUAUUGUAUUACAAAACCAAAAUUGUGUAAUCACAACUGUCAACUAUCAUUGCUAUGUAUUCAAUGAUAAUCAGUUCAAUGAUAAUCAUGUAUUCAGUGACACUCAAUUACUUUGUUCACAUUCACAUAUAUACUGUGAAUUGUACUAUAUAUUUUUAAAACUACGUUCACAAAAUGUAAAAAAAAUCUCCUAAUGGAUAAGCUAUAACAAAACCAUUAAGCUCAUAAUUUGAUUUGCUGCACAGCAGUUAACAUUAAGCCGGCUUGUGAAAUUCAGACUGCAGUGCAAUGAUUUUAUGGCUAGUGCUAUUCAUAGGUUGAAUUGCCAAGAAACACUGCUCUAAAUCCCUGAUUAUUUUAAAUUAGAAUUAGACAAUGGCAUCCUAGUUUACAUGUUACAUAUGUACUGAUGUAAUAAUAGGCAUGAUACUGACUCAUUACAUAUAAUUUUGAAUGUCAGAAGCCUGAUAUUAUACUGAAAGUGAAUUUGAUCACAUAUAUUAUAUAACCACGAUUCCAUAUUGUUGAUUGUACUGCCUUGAUGAUUUCUUCAAUGCAUUCGCCUAUUCAUUUAUACAUCAAGAUCAAGCGAACAGCAGUCCAGCGAGGUUGGUUGGAAUGGUUUGGGGACCAGUUUUAUGCUCGUUUUUCCCUCAUGCAUGCCUCUGUUUUAGUGUCUCGCUGAAGAUCUGACUCUGGCCUACUUUAAAUACAUAUGCUUGCACUGCACCAUAACUAUGAGCUGCAUCACUGACUGUUUUUUUUCAAUAAAAAUAACGAAACAGCA